Molecule: unclassified non-coding RNA, 204 nt
Filed under: Hevea brasiliensis (rubber tree)
Lineage: Eukaryota; Viridiplantae; Streptophyta; Magnoliopsida; Malpighiales; Euphorbiaceae
Source: RNAcentral
CAACCACUAGUGGAUAACAAUGGCUACAAACCUACAUUUCCCAUUCUUCUAACAGAUGGCAUUGCCAAGUACAUCGAUCCUACAGAAAAAGAAAACAACCCAGAGAUGACUGAACAACUAGGAUUGCCCAAGAGAACUGGCAGAGCCUCAAUUUGCACAACAUCACAUCGGAUCCCAGUAGCUCCAGCGCCAAGGCGCAACUCA